AUUGAACGCUGGCGGCAUGCCUAACACAUGCAAGUCGAACGGUAACGCGAGGAGCUUGCUCCUUGGCGACGAGUGGCGGACGGGUGAGUAAUACUUAGGAAUCUACCCAGUAGUGGGGGACAACAUUCGGAAACGGAUGCUAAUACCGCAUACGCACUACGGUGGAAAGUGGGGGACCUUCGGGCCUCACGCUAUUGGAUGAGCCUAAGUCGGAUUAGCUUGUUGGUGAGGUAAUGGCUCACCAAGGCGACGAUCCGUAGCUGGUCUGAGAGGACGAUCAGCCACACUGGGACUGAGACACGGCCCAGACUCCUACGGGAGGCAGCAGUGGGGAAUAUUGGACAAUGGGCGCAAGCCUGAUCCAGCAAUGCCGCGUGUGUGAAGAAGGCCUGCGGGUUGUAAAGCACUUUCAGUAGAGAAGAAAAGCCUAGGGUUAAUAACCCUGAGUCUUGACGUAACCUACAGAAGAAGCACCGGCUAACUCCGU
Molecule: ribosomal RNA, 487 nt
Filed under: uncultured bacterium
Lineage: Bacteria
Description: bacterial SSU rRNA
Rfam family: Bacterial small subunit ribosomal RNA
Source: RNAcentral